CGGAUAAAAGCUACCCUGGGGAUAACAGGCUUAUCACUCCCAAGAGUUCACAUCGACGGAGUGGUUUGGCACCUCGAUGUCGGCUCAUCGCAUCCUGGAGCUGUAGCAGGUUCCAAGGGUUGGGCUGUUCGCCCAUUAAAGCGGUACGCGAGCUGGGUUCAGAACGUCGUGAGACAGUUCGGUCCCUAUCCGGCGCGGGCGGAGGAUAUUUGAGAGGAGCUGUCCUUAGUACGAGAGGACCGGGAUGGACGGACCGCUGGUGUACCUGUUGUAUUACCAAAUGCACGGCAGGGUAGCCAAGUCCGGAAGGGAUAAACGCUGAAGGCAUCUAAGCGUGAAGCCCCCCUCAAGAUAAGAUAUGCCAUUUUUAGGAAGUAAGACCCCUUGAAGACUACGAGGUAGAUAGGUCCGGGGUGUAAGUGCAGCAAUGCAUUCAGCUGACGGAUACUAAUAGGUCGAGGGCUUAUCCU
This 470-nucleotide ribosomal RNA is filed under the name Lachnospiraceae bacterium. Its description in RNAcentral is "partial 23S ribosomal RNA". It matches the Rfam family "Bacterial large subunit ribosomal RNA", at positions 2453 to 2925 of the family's 2925-position model. Lineage: Bacteria; Bacillati; Bacillota; Clostridia; Lachnospirales; Lachnospiraceae. The record is from RNAcentral.